GUGCUCGCUUCGGCAGUACAGAUACUAAAAUUGGAACAAUACAGGGAAGAUUAGCAUGGCCCCUGCGCAAGGAUGACAAAGUUGUGAAGUGUUCCAUAUUUAA
Molecule: small nuclear RNA, 103 nt
Filed under: Propithecus coquereli (Coquerel's sifaka)
Lineage: Eukaryota; Metazoa; Chordata; Mammalia; Primates; Indriidae
Source: RNAcentral